AGAUCCGUGAAACCGGGCACGGGAACCACGUCCACACGUCCCGGGUCCGGGCCACCUCCUCCUCUGUUUCUUUGGGGCUCUCCUCUCGCUUCCUUCCACUCCACUCCGCCCUCCUCGCGCCCCGCCCCGCCCAUCCCGACGCCACCGCCCACCCCUCUCCCCUCUCCCCUCUCCCUAGAAAACAAACCCCCGCCAUCACCGACCACGCCAUCGCCACCGGAUUGCCUCGGAGGAUGACGACGCCCAUGGCCUCGCUCGACCCCUCGCUCGCCACCGCCGCCAGGCCGCGCCUCGCCGCCCCGCCGCCGCCGCCCUCCGCCGCGGGCGCGGGCGCGCUGCGUCGCGGCGCCGUCCUCCAGCGGGGACGGCAGCGGCGCGGCAGGUUCUCGUGCCGCGCGGGACCCGCCGCCUCGGAGAUAACAAAGGAGAAAAACAGAGCAGACCCUUCAAAGUCGGGUUCGGUGCUGCUCCGGGUUUGUCUAGAGCACCAGGUUAAGUAUGGCGAGCAUGUUUGUAUUAUAGGUUCGACAAAGGAGCUUGGGGCAUGGAAGCAACACGUCGAGCUGGAUUGGACAGCGGAUGGCUGGGUCUGCCAGCUUGAGCUCCCUGGCGAAGCAGCUGCGGAGUUCAAGUUUGUGAUUGUCUCAAAAGGAGGAAAGGAGAAAACAUGGGAGGGUGGUAACAACCGUGCUAUCGAGCUGCCAAAAGGUGGUACACUUGAUAUAGUAUGCAACUGGGAUAGGACAGAAGAGCCCUUAGGUCUUUCGGGAACACCAAAGGCUGAUAGAGCAGCUAAAUCUGUUGUGCCACAAACGGCUGGAGAUGUUUCAGUCGCCGAUUUAGCACCGGAGACUGGCUCGAGCACAUUUGGUGGGCAAUGGCAAGGUAGCGAAGCUGUUUUCAUGAGGUCAAAUGAGCAUCGGAAUAAGUCGAGUGACAGGAUGUGGGAUACAGCUGGGCUUGGUGGAAUGGCACUGAAAUUGGUCGAGGGUGAUAAAUCGUCUAAGAACUGGUGGCAGAAGUUAGAUCUUGUUCGCCGGCUUGUGUCAGAACCUGUUGAUGACCAAAGUAGUAGAUUGGAGGCUCUUAUAUGCUCUGCUAUUUAUUUAAAGUGGAUUUAUACAGGUCAGAUAUCUUGUUCCGAAGAUGGUGGUCAUUACCGACCCAACAAACAUGCUGAGAUAUCAAGGCAAAUUUUCCGUGAAAUUGAGAAGAUGUACUACAGAAAAGGCAUAUCACCUGAGGAUGUGCUUGUGAUUCGCAAAAUUCAUCCUUGUUUACCUUCAUUUAAGUCGGAGUUUACUGCUACUGUCCCUCUGACACGAAUUCGUGACAUUGCUCAUCGCAAUGACAUCCCACAUGAGCUCAAGCAAGAAAUCAAGCAUACCAUACAAAACAAGCUUCACCGAAGUGCUGGCCCUGAGGAUCUCGUUGCUACAGAAGCCAUGCUUACUAGGAUUACAAAGAAUCCUGGAGAAUACAAUGACGCUUUUGUUGAACAAUUCAAAAUAUUUUAUAGCGAACUAAAAGACUUCUUUAAUGCCGGCAGCCUGUUUGAACAACUGGAAUCCAUCAAGGAAUCUUUGAAUGAUUCUGGCUUAGAAGCACUGUCAUCAUUUGUCAAAACCAAACAGAGUUUGGACCAAGCGGAUGCUGCGAACAUUCAAGUUGUGAUGAAGACCUUGCAGUCAUUGUCUUCAUUGAGAUCAGUUCUAAUGAAGGGCCUUGAAAGUGGCCUUAGAAAUGACGCGACUGAUGCCGGUGUAGCAAUGCGACAAAAGUGGCGCCUUUGUGAGAUUGGUCUUGAGGAUUAUUCUUUUGUUUUGUUAAGCAGAUAUAUCAAUGGUCUUGAAGCUUCAGGUGGAUCAGCUUCACUUGCACAAUGUGUGGCUGGAAAUACAAGUGUAUGGGACGACACCCUUGAUGCCCUUAUUAUUGGCGUCAAUCAAGUUAGCUUUUCAGGUUGGAAGCCAGAGGAAUGCAUUGCUAUAGGGAAUGAGCUUCUUUUUUGGAAGAAGGAAGGUCUAUGUGAAAGUGAAGGCAGUGAAGAUGGCAAGUAUAUUUGGGCACUAAGACUUAAAGCUACACUUGAUAGAGCAAGGAGAUUAACGGAAGAGUAUUCUGAAGCACUUCUUUCUGUAUUCCCUGAAAAUGUCAAGGUCCUUGGGAAUGCCCUUGGAAUACCAGAGAACAGUGUGAGAACUUACACCGAGGCUGAAAUUCGUGCUGGUGUUAUUUUUCAGGUCUCCAAACUUUGCACUGUACUUUUGAAAGCUGUUCGAGUAGUAAUUGGAUCGUCUGGCUGGGAUGUUCUUGUUCCUGGAGUAGCCCAUGGAGCUCUGAUACAGGUAGAAAGAAUCAUUCCUGGAUCAUUGCCUUCAUCCAUCAAAGGACCUGUGGUUCUACUUGUAAAUAAGGCUGAUGGAGAUGAAGAGGUCAAAGCUGCUGGCGAUAAUAUAGUGGGUGUUAUUCUUCUGCAAGAGUUACCUCACCUAUCACAUCUUGGUGUUAGAGCUCGUCAAGAGCAAGUUGUAUUUGUAACUUGUGAAGAUGAUGACAAAAUUGCAGAUAUGAGGUUGCUUGAGGGAAAACAUGUCAGGUUGGGAGCAUCAUCCAGUGAUGUUGAGUUGUCAGUUUCUGAUGGAAAUGCCAGCGACAUAUCUUCAGAGCCAUCCAUUAUACAGAAACCAUCAAAUUUGUUCUCUUCACCACUGGCUACGGACGACUUGUCGAACGUGUCUGAGCCCAAAAGCUAUACUUCAGGAGAAAAUGGUAGUUCCAGUGUUCUGGAGCUUGCAGAAGCAUCAGUUGAAUCAUCUGGUGCUAAAGCUAAAGCUUGUGGAACUCUUUCUGUGCUGGCCUCACUGUCAAAUAAAGUCUACAACGAUCAAGGAAUUCCAGCGGCAUUCAAAGUUCCUUCUGGGGCUGUGCUUCCAUUUGGAUCAAUGGAGGAUGCGCUCAAGAAAAGUGGAUCACUUGAAUCGUUUACAAGCCUUCUAGACAAGAUUGAGACAGCUGAAAUCGAAAAUGGCGAACUUGACACCCUAUCAUCCGAGCUACAAGCAACAGUCUCACUGCUUUCACCAACCGAAGAUGCCAUCAAGUCUCUGAAAACAAUCUUCCCUCAGGAUGGCCGGCUUAUCGUCAGGUCCAGCGCUAAUGUGGAGGACCUGGCCGGGAUGUCAGCUGCGGGGCUUUACGAGUCCAUCCCCAAUGUGAGCCUCUCGGACCCAACCAACUUCGGGUCUGCAGUAGCGCGGGUCUGGGCCUCGCUGUACACUCGGAGGGCCAUCCUCAGCCGCCGGGUGGCUGGCGUGCCCCAGAGGGACGCCAAGAUGGCUGUCCUGGUGCAGGAGAUGCUGGAGCCAGAGCUAUCCUUCGUGCUCCACACGGUCAGCCCCUCGGACCACGACACCAGGGUCGUCGAGGCUGAGGUUGCCCCGGGGCUGGGCGAGACCCUUGCCGCUGGCACCCGCGGCACCCCGUGGCGUCUCUCCUGCGACAAGUUCGACACCGACGUCGCCACCCUGGCCUUCGCCAACUUCAGUGAGGAGAUGCGGGUGCUCGGCUCGGGCCCCGCCGACGGCGAGGUGGUGAGGCUCACUGUCGACUACAGCACGAAGCUGCUCUCCGUCGACAGGACCUUCAGGCAGAAGUUCGGUCAGCGGCUGGCCGCCGUGGGGCAGUACCUGGAGCAGAGGUUCGGGAGCGCCCAGGACGUGGAGGGCUGCAUGGUCGGGGAAGACAUCUACAUAGUGCAGAGCAGGCCACAGCCGCUGUAGAGUCAUCCGUAAUAAUGUUUAGAUGAGCAAAGUUUUGGUUGGUGAAAUAAAAUUUGCCGAAAAUCCCAUGGCAAAAUAAGUCAGUGUAAGUUUUAUAUAUGGCGUAUAUGAGAAGAGCAGAAAGGGCAUGAGGAACUCUGCGAACAUUAAGGGCUCCUUUGAUUCAAGACGAAGUCGUAGGAUUUUUGUAGGAUUUCAACCCGUAGGUGUAUUUUUCGUCGUAGGGUUGAAGUCCUUAGGAAUUUGCACUGCAUUGUAUUUUGGGGGAAAAUUUUCCAACCGCUCAAAACAUAUUUUUUACAAUUCCUUUGUCGUUU
This is an RNA transcript of Hordeum vulgare subsp. vulgare (domesticated barley), 4099 nucleotides long. It is a transcript of the gene named phosphoglucan, water dikinase, chloroplastic, with no coding region annotated. Lineage: Eukaryota; Viridiplantae; Streptophyta; Magnoliopsida; Poales; Poaceae. The record is from RefSeq and is a predicted model, not a curated record. The transcript is spliced from 20 exons.